RNAcentral lists this ribosomal RNA (492 nucleotides) under uncultured bacterium. Its description in RNAcentral is "partial 16S ribosomal RNA". It matches the Rfam family "Bacterial small subunit ribosomal RNA", at positions 29 to 507 of the family's 1533-position model. The record is from RNAcentral.
AGUGAACGCUGGCGGUAGGCCUAACACAUGCAAGUCGAACGGCAGCACAGUAAGAGCUUGCUCUUACGGGUGGCGAGUGGCGGACGGGUGAGGAAUACAUCGGAAUCUACUUUUUCGUGGGGGAUAACGUAGGUAAACUUACGCUAAUACCGCAUACGACCUACGGGUGAAAGCAUGGGAUCUUCUGACCUUGCGCGAUUGAAUGAGCCGAUGUCGGAUUAGCUAGUUGGCGGGGUAAAGGCCCACCAAGGCGACGAUCCGUAGCUGGUCUGAGAGGAUGAUCAGCCACACGGGAAGUGAGACACGGUCCAGACUCCUACGGGAGGCAGCAGUGGGGAAUAUUGGACAAUGGGCGCAAGCCUGAUCCAGCCAUACCGCGUGGGUGAAGAAGGCCUUCGGGUUGUAAAGCCCUUUUGUUGGGAAAGAAAAGCAGCAGGUUAAUACCCCGCUGUUCUGACGGUACCCAAAGAAUAAGCACCGGCUAACUUCGUG